Molecule: ribosomal RNA, 587 nt
Filed under: uncultured bacterium
Lineage: Bacteria
Description: partial 16S ribosomal RNA
Rfam family: Bacterial small subunit ribosomal RNA
Source: RNAcentral
UGGGGAAUUUUGGACAAUGGGCGAAAGCCUGAUCCAGCAAUGCCGCGUGUGUGAAGAAGGCCUUCGGGUUGUAAAGCACUUUUGUCCGGAAAGAAAUCCUUGGCUCUAAUACAGUCGGGGGAUGACGGUACCGGAAGAAUAAGCACCGGCUAACUACGUGCCAGCAGCCGCGGUAAUACGUAGGGUGCAAGCGUUAAUCGGAAUUACUGGGCGUAAAGCGUGCGCAGGCGGUUUGCUAAGACCGACGUGAAAUCCCCGGGCUCAACCUGGGAACUGCAUUGGUGACUGGCAGGCUAGAGUAUGGCAGAGGGGGGUAGAAUUCCGCGUGUAGCAGUGAAAUGCGUAGAGAUGUGGAGGAAUACCGAUGGCGAAGGCAGCCCCCUGGGCCAAUACUGACGCUCAUGCACGAAAGCGUGGGGAGCAAAACAGGAUUAGAUACCCUGGUAGUCCACGCCCUAAAACGAUGUCAACUAGUUGUUGGGGAUUCAUUUCCUUAGUAACGUAGCUAACGCGUGAAGUUGACCGCCUGGGGAGUACGGUCGCAAGAUUAAAACUUAAAGGAAUUGACGGGGUCAUAGCUGUUUCCU